UACGUAGGGUGCGAGCGUUAAUCGGAAUUACUGGGCGUAAAGCGUGCGCAGGUGGUUUUUUAAGUCAGACGUGAAAUCCCCGGGCUUAACCUGGGAACUACGUUUGAAACUGGAAGACUCGAGUGUGGCAGAGGGGGGUGGAAUUCCUGGUGUAGCAGUGAAAUGCGUAGAUAUCAGGAGGAACACCGAUGGCGAAGGCAGCCCCCUGGGCUAACACUGACACUCAUGCACGAAAGCGUGGGGAGCAAACAGG
Molecule: ribosomal RNA, 253 nt
Filed under: uncultured bacterium
Lineage: Bacteria
Description: partial 16S ribosomal RNA
Rfam family: Bacterial small subunit ribosomal RNA
Source: RNAcentral